GGUCCAAUGGCGCAACGGAUAACGCGUCUGACUACGGAUCAGAAGAUUCCAGGUUCGAAUCCUGGUUGGAUCG
Transfer RNA from Clunio marinus, 73 nucleotides. It matches the Rfam family "tRNA". From Rfam's summary of the family: Transfer RNA (tRNA) molecules are approximately 80 nucleotides in length. Their secondary structure includes four short double-helical elements and three loops (D, anti-codon, and T loops). Lineage: Eukaryota; Metazoa; Arthropoda; Insecta; Diptera; Chironomidae. The record is from Rfam.